This 468-nucleotide ribosomal RNA is filed under the name uncultured bacterium. RNAcentral's name for it is "partial 16S ribosomal RNA". It matches the Rfam family "Bacterial small subunit ribosomal RNA", at positions 28 to 507 of the family's 1533-position model. The record is from RNAcentral.
GACGAACGCUGGCGGCGUGCUUAACACAUGCAAGUCGAACGGAAAGGCCCUGCUUUUGUGGGGUGCUCGAGUGGCGAACGGGUGAGUAACACGUGAGUAACCUGCCCUUGACUUUGGGAUAACUUCAGGAAACUGGGGCUAAUACCGGAUAGGAGCUCCUGCUGCAUGGGGGGGGUUGGAAAGUUUCGGCGGUUGGGGAUGGACUCGCGGCUUAUCAGCUUGUUGGUGGGGUAGUGGAUUACCAAGGCUUUGACGGGUAGCCGGCCUGGGAGGGUGACCGGCCACAUUGGGCCUGCGAUACGGCCCAGACUCCUACGUGCGGCAGCAGUGGGGAAUAUUGCACAAUGGGCGGAAGCCUGAUGCAGCAACGCCGCGUGCGUGAUGACGGCCUUCGGGUUGUAAACCGCUUUCGCCUGUGACGAAGCGUGAGUGACGGUAAUGGGUAAAGAAGCACCGGCUAACUACGUG